RNAcentral lists this ribosomal RNA (540 nucleotides) under uncultured bacterium. Its description in RNAcentral is "partial 16S ribosomal RNA". It matches the Rfam family "Bacterial small subunit ribosomal RNA", at positions 355 to 905 of the family's 1533-position model. The record is from RNAcentral.
UGGGGAAUAUUGCACAAUGGGCGCAAGCCUGAUGCAGCGACGCCGCGUGAGGGAUGACGGCCUUCGGGUUGUAAACCUCUUUCAGCAGGGACGAAGCGCAAGUGACGGUACCUGCAGAAGAAGCACCGGCCAACUACGUGCCAGCAGCCGCGGUAAUACGUAGGGUGCGAGCGUUGUCCGGAAUUACUGGGCGUAAAGAGCUCGUAGGCGGUUUGUCGCGUCGUCUGUGAAAUUCUGCAGCUUAACUGCAGGCGUGCAGGCGAUACGGGCAGACUUGAGUACUACAGGGGAGACUGGAAUUCCUGGUGUAGCGGUGAAAUGCGCAGAUAUCAGGAGGAACACCGGUGGCGAAGGCGGGUCUCUGGGUAGUAACUGACGCUGAGGAGCGAAAGCGUGGGUAGCGAACAGGAUUAGAUACCCUGGUAGUCCACGCCGUAAACGGUGGGUACUAGGUGUGGGUUCCAUUUCACGGGAUCCGUGCCGUAGCUAACGCGUGAAGUUGACCGCCUGGGGAGUACGGUCGCAAGAUUAAAACUCAAA